This 571-nucleotide ribosomal RNA is filed under the name Aspergillus ustus. RNAcentral's name for it is "eukaryotic LSU rRNA". The stretch from base 187 to 340 matches the Rfam family "5.8S ribosomal RNA". Lineage: Eukaryota; Fungi; Ascomycota; Eurotiomycetes; Eurotiales; Aspergillaceae. The record is from RNAcentral.
UCCGUAGGUGAACCUGCGGAAGGAUCAUUACCGAGUGCAGGUCUGCCCCCGGGCAGGCCUAACCUCCCACCCGUGAAUACCUGACCAACGUUGCUUCGGCGGUGCGCCCCCCCGGGGGUAGCCGCCGGAGACCACAUUGAACCUCUUGUCUUUAGUGUUGUCUGAGCUUGAUAGCAAACCUAUUAAAACUUUCAACAAUGGAUCUCUUGGUUCCGGCAUCGAUGAAGAACGCAGCGAACUGCGAUAAGUAAUGUGAAUUGCAGAAUUCAGUGAAUCAUCGAGUCUUUGAACGCACAUUGCGCCCCCUGGCAUUCCGGGGGGCAUGCCUGUCCGAGCGUCAUUGCUGCCCUUCAAGCCCGGCUUGUGUGUUGGGUCGUCGUCCCCCCUGGGGGACGGGCCCGAAAGGCAGCGGCGGCACCGCGUCCGGUCCUCGAGCGUAUGGGGCUUUGUCACCCGCUCGAUUAGGGCCGGCCGGGCGCCAGCCGGCGUCUCCAACCUUCUAUUUUACCAGGUUGACCUCGGAUCAGGUAGGGAUACCCGCUGAACUUAAGCAUAUCAAUAAGCGGAGGAA